This 766-nucleotide long non-coding RNA is filed under the name Drosophila guanche. Lineage: Eukaryota; Metazoa; Arthropoda; Insecta; Diptera; Drosophilidae. The record is from RNAcentral.
AAGCCAUCCGCUUGAAUAUCACAUCCCCUUCCACUCGUAGGUCAGGCAACAUGUCUUGAUUCUUGCCGAUUUCUUCUUUCAGCUCCUGAUAUUCUGAAGACUCAAACUCUGUCGUCUGGAAUCCGAGGAUCUCCGUUGGAUCUAUCACCACUUCGUCGAUGCAGCGUGAGAGUGUAUCCGCCACGACGUUGUCGACUCCUUUCCGGUGUUCGAUCCCAAAGUCAAACCUCUGCAGUCGCAAUGCCCACCUCGCAAGACGUCCGUUUAGAUCCUUCAAUGACAUGAGCCAUUUCAGGCUGGCGUGAUCCGUAAUAACCGUGAAGGGCAUCGAUUCAACGUACGGUCUGAAUUUUUCAAUGGCCAACACCGCAGCUAAACACUCUUUUUCCGUUACAGAAUAAUUUAGCUGAUGCUUGUUUAACUUGGCGGAGAAGAAUGCCACCGGACGCUCGGCUCCUUCGACGUCCAACUGAAACAACACCGCUCCCACUCCGUAAUUCGAUGCAUCGCACUGUACAUAGAAAGGCUUCUUGAAAUCAGCAUGACUUAAUACCGGAGCCGUGGUGAGUGCCUUCUUCAGGAAUCCUAUCGCCGUCUCGGCCUCCGUGGACAGGGAAAACUUUCCACGCGGAUGCUUCUUCAGCGCGUCUGUUAGCGGCACAGCAAUGGAAGCGUAAUCCUUGAUGAAGCGCCUAUACCAUCCUGCGGUUCCUAGGAAGCUUCUUAGUUCCUUCACUGAACUCGGAUUGGGAAUCCUUUGAAUGGC